This 256-nucleotide ribosomal RNA is filed under the name uncultured bacterium. Its description in RNAcentral is "partial 16S ribosomal RNA". It matches the Rfam family "Bacterial small subunit ribosomal RNA", at positions 524 to 776 of the family's 1533-position model. The record is from RNAcentral.
UACGAAGGGGGCUAGCGUUGCUCGGAAUCACUGGGCGUAAAGGGCGCGUAGGCGGCUCUGUAAGUCAGAUGUGAAAGCCCUGGGCUUAACCUGGGAACUGCAUUUGAUACUGCAAGGCUAGAGAUCGAGAGAGGAAAGUGGAAUUACGAGUGUAGAAGUGAAAUUCGUAGAUAUUCGUAGGAACACCAAGUGGCGAAGGCGACUUUCUGGCUCGAUACUGACGCUAAAAGCGCGAAAGCGUGGGGGAGCAAACAGG